CGACUCCAAACACGCGCACGCAUAUUCGUUUCUUGGUUGCGCUCACACACACACACACACCUUCCGAUUCGCCACAACACUCUUGAAGGAAAAUACUCAGCCAUCGCCGCUGCGCCCCACCUAAAGCACGGCCCAAGCGAGACAGAGGCGAAACGGAUGGAGCCGUCAGUGAAGGAGAGCGUCUCGCGCAUCCCGCUGCUGAAGACGAAGGCGGGCCCACGUGAUGGUGACAAGUGGACGGCGCGACUCAAGGAGGAGUACGCUUCUCUAAUCACCUAUGUGGAGCACAACAAGGCGAGCGACUCGCACUGGUUUCACUUAGAGAGCAACCCGCAAGGGACACGCUGGUACGGCACCUGCUGGACCUACUACAAGAACGAAAAGUACGAGUUCGAGAUGAACUUCGACAUCCCGGUCACGUAUCCGCAGGCACCGCCGGAAAUUGCGCUGCCGGAGCUGGAGGGCAAGACGGUGAAGAUGUACAGGGGCGGCAAGAUCUGCAUGACGACGCACUUCUUCCCCUUGUGGGCACGCAAUGUGCCGUACUUUGGGAUCAGCCACGUCCUCGCUCUCGGACUUGGGCCGUGGCUGUCGAUUGAGGUGCCCGCGAUUGUUGAAGAAGGGUAUCUGAAGCCCGCCAGCGCAGCAACGGUGCCCACGACUGCUGAGUAGAGCGUAACGGAUGUGAGGCUCUGCAAAGGAGAACACAGCGAGAGAAACCGGCCGGGGAGCAGCAGCCCUGCAGCGCACUCGCCGUACCAAAAGUGAACGAGAAGGCAUCUGCUUUCGCACCUCGACGUCUGUGAAGGACGGCGGGGCCGCAUAGGAUUGGGCGAUUUCGUGCCGUUUCGUAGAUCUUGUCCUCACGUCAG
RNAcentral lists this unclassified non-coding RNA (872 nucleotides) under Leishmania donovani. Its description in RNAcentral is "gene:LdHU3.15.1560(CDS-product:E2-like_ubiquitin-conjugation_enzyme_putative)". Lineage: Eukaryota; Euglenozoa; Kinetoplastea; Trypanosomatida; Trypanosomatidae. The record is from RNAcentral.